RNAcentral lists this ribosomal RNA (637 nucleotides) under uncultured bacterium. RNAcentral describes it as "bacterial SSU rRNA". It matches the Rfam family "Bacterial small subunit ribosomal RNA", at positions 607 to 1244 of the family's 1533-position model. The record is from RNAcentral.
GCUUAACCGGAGAAGUGCAUCGGAAACUGGGUAACUUGAGUGCAGAAGAGGACAGUGGAACUCCAUGUGUAGCGGUGGAAUGCGUAGAUAUAUGGAAGAACACCAGUGGCGAAGGCGGCUGUCUAGUCUGUAACUGACGCUGAGGCUCGAAAGCAUGGGUAGCGAACAGGAUUAGAUACCCUGGUAGUCCAUGCCGUAAACGAUGAGUGCUAGGUGUUGGAGGGUUUCCGCCCUUCAGUGCCGCAGCUAACGCAUUAAGCACUCCGCCUGGGGAGUACGACCGCAAGGUUGAAACUCAAAGGAAUUGACGGGGGCCCGCACAAGCGGUGGAGCAUGUGGUUUAAUUCGAAGCUACGCGAAGAACCUUACCAGGUCUUGACAUCUUCUGUCAAUCUUAGAGAUAAGACGUUCCCUUCGGGGACAGAAUGACAGGUGGUGCAUGGUUGUCGUCAGCUCGUGUCGUGAGAUGUUGGGUUAAGUCCCGCAACGAGCGCAACCCUUAUUAUCAGUUGCCAGCAUUCAGUUGGGCACUCUGGUGAGACUGCCGGUGACAAACCGGAGGAAGGUGGGGAUGACGUCAAAUCAUCAUGCCCCUUAUGACCUGGGCUACACACGUGCUACAAUGGACGGUACAACG